AUUGAACGCUGGCGGCAGGCCUAACACAUGCAAGUCGAGCGGAUGAAGGGAGCUUGCUCCUGGAUUCAGCGGCGGACGGGUGAGUAAUGCCUAGGAAUCUGCCUGGUAGUGGGGGAUAACGUCCGGAAACGGGCGCUAAUACCGCAUACGUCCUGAGGGAGAAAGUGGGGGAUCUUCGGACCUCACGCUAUCAGAUGAGCCUAGGUCGGAUUAGCUAGUUGGUGGGGUAAAGGCCUACCAAGGCGACGAUCCGUAACUGGUCUGAGAGGAUGAUCAGUCACACUGGAACUGAGACACGGUCCAGACUCCUACGGGAGGCAGCAGUGGGGAAUAUUGGACAAUGGGCGAAAGCCUGAUCCAGUCAUGCCGCGUGUGUGAAGAAGGUCUGCGGAUUGUAAAGCACUUUAAGUUGGGAGGAAGGGCAGUAAGUUAAUACCUUGCUGUUUUGACGUUACCAACAGAAUAAGCACCGGCUAACUUCGUG
Molecule: ribosomal RNA, 484 nt
Filed under: uncultured bacterium
Lineage: Bacteria
Description: partial 16S ribosomal RNA
Rfam family: Bacterial small subunit ribosomal RNA
Source: RNAcentral